GGGACACGUGGUAUCCUGUCUGAAUAUGGGGGGACCAUCCUCCAAGGCUAAAUACUCCUGACUGACCGAUAGUGAACCAGUACCGUGAGGGAAAGGCGAAAAGAACCCCGGCGAGGGGAGUGAAAAAGAACCUGAAACCGUGUACGUACAAGCAGUGGGAGCCUCUUUAUGGGGUGACUGCGUACCUUUUGUAUAAUGGGUCAGCGACUUAUAUUCUGUAGCAAGGUUAACCGUAUAGGGGAGCCGAAGGGAAACCGAGUCUUAACUGGGCGUUAAGUUGCAGGGUAUAGACCCGAAACCCGGUGAUCUAGCCAUGGGCAGGUUGAAGGUUGGGUAACACUAACUGGAGGACCGAACCGACUAAUGUUGAAAAAUUAGCGGAUGACCUGUGGCUGGGGGUGAAAGGCCAAUCAAACCGGGAGAUAGCUGGUUCUCCCCGAAAGCUAUUUAGGUAGCGCCUCGUGAACUCAUCUUCGGGGGUAGAGCACUGUUUCGGCUAGGGGGCCAUCCCGGCUUACCAACCCGAUGCAAACUACGAAUACCGAAGAAUGUUAUCACGGGAGACACACGGCGGGUGCUAACGUCCGUCGUGAAGAGGGAAACAACCCAGACCGCCAGCUAAGGUCCCAAAGUCAUGGUUAAGUGGGAAACGAUGUGGGAAGGCACAGACAGCCAGGAUGUUGGCUUAGAAGCAGCCAUCAUUUAAAGAAAGCGUAAUAGCUCACUGGUCGAGUCGGCCUGCGCGGAAGAUGUAACGGGGCUAAACCAUGCACCGAAGCUGCGGCAGCGACGCUUAUGCGUUGUUGGGUAGGGGAGCGUUCUGUAAGCCGUUGAAGGUGUGCUGUGAGGCAUGCUGGAGGUAUCAGAAGUGCGAAUGCUGACAUAAGUAACGAUAAAGCGGGUGAAAAGCCCGCUCGCCGGAAGACCAAGGGUUCCUGUCCAACGUUAAUCGGGGCAGGGUGAGUCGACCCCUAAGGCGAGGCCGAAAGGCGUAGUCGAUGGGAAACAGGUUAAUAUUCCUGUACUUGGUGUUACUGCGAAGGGGGGACGGAGAAGGCUAUGUCAGCCGGGCGACGGUUGUCCCGGUUUAAGCAUGUAGGCGGAGGU
Molecule: ribosomal RNA, 1107 nt
Filed under: Enterobacter hormaechei
Lineage: Bacteria; Pseudomonadati; Pseudomonadota; Gammaproteobacteria; Enterobacterales; Enterobacteriaceae
Description: partial 23S ribosomal RNA
Rfam family: Bacterial large subunit ribosomal RNA
Source: RNAcentral